AUUGAACGCUGGCGGCAUGCCUUACACAUGCAAGUCGAACGGAUUAUAGGGCUUUCGGUUUUUAUAGUUAGUGGCGGACGGGUGAGUAACGCGUGGGAACCUGCCCUAUAGUGCGGGAUAACUGUGGGAAACUACAGCUAAUACCGCAUAUUCUCCGUUUCAGCGGGCAGANAUUUUAGAGAUAAGCGGACAGGGAACGAUUGGGUAUUUAGCAUUAAUUUGUGUUGGAUACGGGAUUGGUUUUUUUGUCUUUGUUUAUUUUUUAGUCUCUGUCCUCUGAAGCGGAGGAAAG
Molecule: ribosomal RNA, 292 nt
Filed under: uncultured bacterium
Lineage: Bacteria
Description: partial 16S ribosomal RNA
Rfam family: Bacterial small subunit ribosomal RNA
Source: RNAcentral